AUGCAUGCUCUGAUGGGUAUAAAAUCCACAAAGAAGCUCAGUUUUACAGUGACAAUCAUGAUAGGGGACACUCCAGCUACUGCACUCAUUGAUAGUGGCAGUACUGCUACAUUCAUUACCCCUAAGAUUGCUCACCUAGCUAGAUGUGCUCUCACUCCUACCAGAAAAAGAAAGGUGGUUGUGGCUAAUGGAGAUACUCUUUGGUCUGAAUUCAUUGCACUAGAAUGCCCAUUCUCUCUGCAAGGAACACAGUUCUCCACUGAUCUCAGAGUACUACAGCUUCAGGGUUAUGACGUUAUCCUAGGGGCAGAUUGGAUGGCUUCUUUCAACCCAGUAGAAUUGGACUUUGAUGAAAUGCAGGUGAAGAUCACCUUGAAAACUGGUGAAAAGAAAAUUUUUAAAGAUGAAAGCUUACCAUCUGUAGCUGUGCAAGAAUUGGAAACUGUGGAGGAACUCUCUAAGGAACCUGUUUGUGGAGCUGUCUUAAUUCUGAACAGAAUUGCUGACACCUUAGUUCCUCCUCCUGUCCAGCAACUUUUGAACAAAUACACACCAGUUUUCAGCACUCCAUCUGAUCUCCCUCCCAAGAGAACUGUGGAUCAUGCUAUACCUUUUACUCCUGAAGCCAAGAUUAUAAACCAGAGACCUUACAGACUCCCACACCACCAGAAAGAUGCUAUGGAAACCAUUAUCAAGGAUAUGAUCAAAAACAAAGUAAUUAGGGACAACUCUAGCCCUUACUCCUCCCCUGCACUCCUUGUUAAAAAGAAGGACAUGACUUGGAGAUUGGUCAAUGAUUUCAGAAAAAUCAACCAGCAAACUGUUAAGAACAAAUACCCUAUCCCUGUUAUAGAAGAUCUCCUGGAUGAAUUGAAAGGGGCAACAGUUUUCACUAAACUGGAUUUAAGAAGUGGCUAUCACCAAAUCAGAAUGCAGGAAGAAGAUAUUGGAAAAACUGCUUUCAGUACUCAUUGUGGCCACUAUGAGUAUUUAGUAAUGCCCUUUGGACUUACUAAUUCCCCAGCUACCUUUCAGCAGCUAAUGAACACAAUUUUAGCACCUUACUUGAGAAAAUUUGUGUUGGUUUUCUUUGAUGACAUCCUCAUAUACAGCAGAAACAUGAAGGAACACUUGGUACAUCUCCAACUAGUCCUUGAGGUCUUGCAGUCCCACCAACUAUAUGCUAAAAUGAGCAAGUGUACCUUUGCUCAACCUCAAGUGGAGUACUUGGGCCAUAUCAUAAGAGGUGAUGGAGUAGCUACUGAUCCUACCAAAAUUGAGGCAAUCUCCUAG
This 1293-nucleotide ribosomal RNA is filed under the name Triticum aestivum (bread wheat). RNAcentral describes it as "partial small subunit ribosomal RNA". The record is from RNAcentral. Lineage: Eukaryota; Viridiplantae; Streptophyta; Magnoliopsida; Poales; Poaceae.